CGGCUUCGCCACCGAGGUCGGUAGCGGCCCGGAGCCGGGGUCGUGAGUCCAGCGGCGCCGCUGUCACGGGCGCCUGCCGCACGCGGAGGGCCGCAGCGCCGGUGGUGCGGUGCGGCACGAAGCACGGGCGCGCAGCGCCUCACAAGAGAACAGCAUUAAGCCAGACAGGUACCCGUGUCACUACCAGGAUGAUUGGACACCCGGCCACUGUUGAGGUCCCUGUCUCAUUUGCAAAAGAUCUGUCUUCCUCUAACAAAAUUUCUUAAAUGGAAAUAUGUGAAGUGUGUAAAUCUUGUUAAAAUGGAGAUUCUGGAAUCCUCUGAGGACCACUGUGAGCUGUGAGUGUCUGCAGCAUUUUGUUGAUAAUGAUGCUGAAGCUGGUGGCCAGUGAUAGUACUGAACCCUUCAGCUGUGUCUGCCAUGGUGCUGGGAAAGGAACAGCGACACCCUGGUGACAUGGGUUUAACAUCUCAGACAAUGGCUCUUGGUUCAGCCUAUCAGCCCCAUUUCUAUCUGGAACACCAGGACUUAUGUCAGCUCCUCACUGUGUCCCUUUACCUACCGGGGGAGGUGAGGUGAUCUCUGUGAGUAUGAAACAGCUCACCUAUCUGCCUUCAGCAAGCCUUAGCCACGUGAUGCAAACUUGCUGUCUUCUGUGGAUGGAGUGGGACUGACAUCCAAGCCAUCAUGGUGUGAACAAAACUCUGGAUGUUUGGUGGACAUCAGUCUGUGAUUGCUUGGAUAUUUUGUUUCUUUUCAAAUCCAGAUGUUGUUCUCCCAUGCUCUGGUGAUGCUGGAGCCCAGCCUUGAAGCAUAGAGGGUUCUUUCCUCUCUUCUUCUGAGUUCUGACUCUGACCCUGCUACUCCUGGCGCAACUCAUAUGGACUGAGGAGAUGUGAUGCACAGUGACCGGUGUUCACCUGUGAACCUUCCUCUUGCUUCCCAGGUGGCUACCUUUGGCAGCCAGUCAGUGCCACAUAGGCCAGUUUUAGCCCUGUGACUGUGACUUGGUGACUUACAUGUCCCUGAGUCUUACAGACUCAGGCCUGGAAUUUGUUGAUGUACUAAAUUAUUAACAGUAGCACUAUUACUAUCAAUAAACUCAGUAAUGAAA
This is a long non-coding RNA of Cavia porcellus (domestic guinea pig), 1114 nucleotides long. RefSeq lists it as uncharacterized. The record is from RefSeq and is a predicted model, not a curated record. The transcript is spliced from 3 exons. NCBI's taxonomy places the organism in Eukaryota, Metazoa, Chordata, Mammalia, Rodentia, Caviidae.